CGGGGUGUAGCGCAGCUUGGUCAGCGUACUUGACUGGGGGUCAAGGGGUCGUGAGUUCAAAUCUCACCACUCCGACCA
Molecule: transfer RNA, 78 nt
Filed under: Eubacteriales Family XIII. Incertae Sedis bacterium
Lineage: Bacteria; Bacillati; Bacillota; Clostridia; Peptostreptococcales; Anaerovoracaceae
Description: tRNA-Pro
Rfam family: tRNA
About the family: Transfer RNA (tRNA) molecules are approximately 80 nucleotides in length. Their secondary structure includes four short double-helical elements and three loops (D, anti-codon, and T loops). Further hydrogen bonds mediate the characteristic L-shaped molecular structure. tRNAs have two regions of fundamental functional importance: the anti-codon, which is responsible for specific mRNA codon recognition, and the 3' end, to which the tRNAs corresponding amino acid is attached (by aminoacyl-tRNA synthetases). tRNAs cope with the degeneracy of the genetic code in two manners: having more than one tRNA (with a specific anti-codon) for a particular amino acid; and 'wobble' base-pairing, i.e. permitting non-standard base-pairing at the 3rd anti-codon position.
Source: RNAcentral